Molecule: long non-coding RNA, 236 nt
Filed under: Musa acuminata (dwarf banana)
Lineage: Eukaryota; Viridiplantae; Streptophyta; Magnoliopsida; Zingiberales; Musaceae
Description: long non-coding RNA (MACU_LNC011180)
Source: RNAcentral
CCAAAGUUUGUGCAAUAAAGACCUUAUCCUCUACGUAAGGGCUCAUAUAUAUUUUACUUUUCGCAUGAUUUAACUGAAGUCCAGAAACCAUACCAAAGUCAUUCAUAAUAGUAGCCAGGUUCUUUACUGAAGUUGGAUCAUUUUGGAGAAAGAUAAGUAAAUCAUCUGCAAAUGUUAUAUGUGAUAUAUGAAUAGAGCCAGCAUUGGGUACCUUAAUGCUGCCAUUUAAGACUGCA